GUGCUCGCUUCGAUAGCAUAUAUUUUCAAAAUUGGAAUGAUAUAAAGAAGAGUAGCUUGGACCCUGUGCAAGGAUGGCAUGCAAAUUCAUGAAAAAAUUGGAAAAGGA
This is a small nuclear RNA of Suncus etruscus (white-toothed pygmy shrew), 108 nucleotides long. Lineage: Eukaryota; Metazoa; Chordata; Mammalia; Eulipotyphla; Soricidae. The record is from RefSeq and is a predicted model, not a curated record.